RNAcentral lists this ribosomal RNA (534 nucleotides) under Belminus costaricensis. Its description in RNAcentral is "partial large subunit ribosomal RNA". It matches the Rfam family "Bacterial large subunit ribosomal RNA", at positions 1808 to 2614 of the family's 2925-position model. The record is from RNAcentral. Lineage: Eukaryota; Metazoa; Arthropoda; Insecta; Hemiptera; Reduviidae.
CAAAAACAUGUCCUUUUGUUAUUUAUUUAAGGUCUGACCUGCCCAAUGAGGAAUUGAAUGGCCGCAGUAUUUUAACUGUGCUAAGGUAGCAUAAUCAUUUGUCUUUUAAUUGAGGGCUGGAAUGAAGGGUUGGACGAAGUAUUAUCUUUCUUUAAUUUAAUUGUAGGAAUUUAAUUUUUGAGUUAAAAAGCUUAAAUUUAUUUAUUGGACGAGAAGACCCUAUAGAUCUUUAUAAUUUUAUAUUUUGGUAAUUUAGUGAUUUUUUUAUUUGAAGUAAAUGAAUUAUUUUGUUGGGGUGACUGUAGAAUUUGUAUAUAACUUCUAUUUGUGUUUUUCAUUAAUGAGUGUAUUGUUGAUCCAUUGAUAAUGAUUAUAAGAUUAAGUUACUUUAGGGAUAACAGCGUAAUUUUCCCAGAGAGUUCAUAUUAAUGGUAGAGUUUGCGACCUCGAUGUUGGAUUAAAAUAAGGCAUGGGUGGUAGGAGCUAUAAACUAGGUCUGUUCGACCUUUAAAUUUUUACAUGAUCUGAGUUCAA